This 488-nucleotide ribosomal RNA is filed under the name uncultured bacterium. Its description in RNAcentral is "partial 16S ribosomal RNA". It matches the Rfam family "Bacterial small subunit ribosomal RNA", at positions 28 to 507 of the family's 1533-position model. The record is from RNAcentral.
GAUGAACGCUGGCGGCGUGCUUAACACAUGCAAGUCGAACGGAAAGGCCCUGCUUUUGUUGGUUGCUCGUUUGGCGAACGGGUGUGUAACACGUGAGUAACCUGCCCUUGUCUGUGUGAUAACUUCACGAAACUGGGGCUAAUACCGGAUAUGAUCUCCUGCUCCAUAGUGGUGGUUGGAAAGUUUCGGCUUUUCUGGAUGUACUCGGGGCUUCUCAGCUUGUUGGCGUGGUAGUGGCGUACCAAGGGUUUGAUGGGUAGCCGGCCUGGGAGGGUGAGCGGCCACACUGGAACUGAGACACGGUCCAGACGCCUACGGGAGGCAGCAGUAGGGAAUCUUCCGCAAUGGGCGGAAGCCUGACGGAGCAACGCCGCGUGAGUGAUGAUGGUCUUCGGAUCGUAAAACUCUGUUAUUAGGGAAGAACAAAUGUGUAAGUAACUAUGCACGUCUUGACGGUACCUAAUCAGAAAGCCACGGCUAACUACGUG